RNAcentral lists this ribosomal RNA (576 nucleotides) under uncultured soil bacterium. RNAcentral describes it as "bacterial SSU rRNA". It matches the Rfam family "Bacterial small subunit ribosomal RNA", at positions 184 to 747 of the family's 1533-position model. The record is from RNAcentral.
GACGACAUCUUCCUGAAUCCAAAGCCGGGGCAACCUGGCGCUUUUUGAGGAGUCCGCGGCCUAUCAGCUUGUUGGUGAGGUAACGGCUCACCAAGGCGAUGACGGGUAGCUGGUCUGAGAGGACGACCAGUCACACUGGAACUGAGACACGGUCCAGACACCUACGGGUGGCAGCAGUCGAGAAUUUUUGACAAUGGGGGAAACCCUGAUCGAGCGACGCCGCGUGGAGGAUGAAGGUCUUCGGGUUGUAAACUCCUGUCAUUUGAGAACAAGGUGCACCGGUUAACUGCCGGUGCAUUGAUAGUAUCAGAAGAGGAAGAGACGGCUAACUCUGUGCCAGCAGCCGCGGUAAUACAGAGGUCUCAAGCGUUGUUCGGAUUCAUUGGGCGUAAAGGGUGCGUAGGUGGCGCCAUAAGUCGGGUGUGAAAUCUCGGGGCUUAACUCCGAAACUGCAUUCGAUACUGUGGUGCUUGAGGACUGGAGAGGAGACUGGAAUUCAUGGUGUAGCAGUGAAAUGCGUAGAGAUCAUGAGGAAGACCAGUGGCGAAGGCGGGUCUCUGGACAGUUCCUGACACU